AUUGAACGCUGGCGGCAGGCCUAACACAUGCAAGUCGAACGGUAACAGGAAGCAGCUUGCUGCUUUGCUGACGAGUGGCGGACGGGUGAGUAAUGUCUGGGAAACUGCCCGAUGGAGGGGGAUAACUACUGGAAACGGUAGCUAAUACCGCAUAACGUCGCAAGACCAAAGAGGGGGACCUUAGGGCCUCUUGCCAUCGGAUGUGCCCAGAUGGGAUUAGCUAGUAGGUGGGGUAACGGCUCACCUAGGCGACGAUCCCUAGCUGGUCUGAGAGGAUGACCAUCCACACUGGAACUGAGACACGGUCCAGACUCCUACGGGAGGCAGCAGUGGGGAAUAUUGCACAAUGGGCGCAAGCCUGAUGCAGCCAUGCCGCGUGUAUGAAGAAGGCCUUCGGGUUGUAAAGUACUUUCAGCGGGGAGGAAGGGAGUAAAGUUAAUACCUUUGCUCAUUGACGUUACCCGCAGAAGAAGCACCGGCUAACUCCGUG
Molecule: ribosomal RNA, 490 nt
Filed under: uncultured bacterium
Lineage: Bacteria
Description: partial 16S ribosomal RNA
Rfam family: Bacterial small subunit ribosomal RNA
Source: RNAcentral